Molecule: ribosomal RNA, 1963 nt
Filed under: Bacteroides ovatus
Lineage: Bacteria; Pseudomonadati; Bacteroidota; Bacteroidia; Bacteroidales; Bacteroidaceae
Also listed under: 1 other name
Description: partial 23S ribosomal RNA
Rfam family: Bacterial large subunit ribosomal RNA
Source: RNAcentral
GAUAAAGAAAGUAAGCAAGGGCAGACGGUGGAUGCCUUGGCUCUCGGAGGCGAUGAAGGACGUGAUAAGCUGCGAUAAGCUUGGGGUAGGUGCAAAUAACCUUUGAUCCCAAGAUUUCCGAAUGGGGCAACCCGGCUGGUAGAAGGCCAGUCAUUCCGUAAGGAAGGCGAACGUGGGGAACUGAAACAUCUAAGUACCCAUAGGAGAAGAAAACAAAAGUGAUUCCGCAAGUAGUGGCGAGCGAACGCGGAACAGCCCAAACCGAUGAUGUUUAGGCAUUGUCGGGGUAGUAGGACCACGUUGUGGCAAGAGAUUAAGGAAGUAGAACGUUUUGGAACAAACGGCCGUAGACGGUGAAAGCCCAGUAUACGACUCUUUAACGAAGCCUAGUGGAAUCCUGAGUAGCGCGGAGCACGAGAAAUUCUGUGUGAAUCAGCGGGGCCCAUCCCGUAAGGCUAAAUACUCCCGAGAGACCGAUAGCGAACCAGUACUGUGAAGGAAAGGUGAAAAGCACCUCGAACAGAGGAGUGAAAUAGUCCCUGAAACCGUCUGCCUACAAGCGGUCGGAGCAACGUAAGUUGUGACGGCGUGCCUUUUGCAUAAUGAACCUACGAGUUACUUUCUCCGGCAAGGUUAAGGGCUUCAGGCCCGGAGCCGAAGCGAAAGCGAGUCUUAAUAGGGCGUGAUAGUCGGAGUGAGUAGACGCGAAACCAAGUGAUCUACCCUUGGUCAGGAUGAAGGUUGGGUAACACCAACUGGAGGUCCGAAUGGGUAUACGUUGAAAAGUGUUCCAAUGAACUGAGGGUAGGGGUGAAAGGCUAAUCAAACUUGGAGAUAGCUCGUACUCCCCGAAAUGCAUUUAGGUGCAGCCUUUAUUUAGUAUAGCAUGAGGUAGAGCGACUGAUUGGAUGCGAGGGCUUCACCGCCUAUCAAGUCCAGAUAAACUCCGAAUGCGUGCUAUAUAUUGAUAAGGAGUGAGGGCGCGGGUGCUAAGGUCCGCGUCCGAGAGGAGAAGAAUCCAGACCAUCAGCUAAGGUCCCCAAAUAACAGUUAAGUUGAACUAACGAAGUCGGACUGCAGAGACAGCUAGGAUGUUGGCUUGGAAGCAGCCAUUCAUUUAAAGAGUGCGUAACAGCUCACUAGUCGAGGAGUCCGGCGUGGAUAAUACUCGGGCAUAAACUGUUUACCGAAGCUAUGGAUGUAGAAAUACAUGGUAGGGGAGCAUUCCAACGGCGUCGAAGGUGAAGGAUGACCUUUGCUGGAGCUUUUGGAAACGCAAAUGUAGGUAUAAGUAACGAUAAAGGAGGUGAGAAACCUCCUCGCCGAAAGACUAAGGUUUCCUGAUCAACGUUAAUCGGAUCAGGGUAAGUCGGGACCUAAGGUUAAGCCGAACGGCGAUACCGAUGGAAGAAUGGUUUAAUAUUCCCAUACUACUUUAUGGAGCGAUGUGGAGACGGAGAAGUGAAAGUCCUGCCAUCUGACGGAAUAGGUGGUUGAAGAGUGUAGAUGUAGAUUCCUGUAGGCAAAUCCGCAGGGAGAGUCGACCUUGAUAGUAUGCCGCGUGCUUGCACAAGGCAAAAUGGACGUAAUCAGGCUCCCAAGAAAAUCCGCUAAGCAUAUUCAUAAAGUACCCGUACCGUAAACGGACACACGUAGUUGGGUUGAAAAUACUGAGGCGCUCGAGUGAUUCACGGUUAAGGAACUAGGCAAAUUGACCCUGUAACUUCGGGAUAAAGGGUCCCUACUGAGAGGUAGGGCGCAGAGAAUAGGUCCAGGCAACUGUUUAACAAAAACACAUGGCUGUGCGAAAUAGAAAUAUGAAGUAUACAGCCUGACACCUGCCCGGUGCUGGAAGGUUAAGAGGAGAGCUCAUCGCAAGAGAAGGCUUGAAUUGAAGCCCCAGUAAACGGCGGCCGUAACUAUAACGGUCCUAAGGUAGCGAAAUUCCUUGUCGGGUAAGUUC